This 1889-nucleotide long non-coding RNA is filed under the name Ananas comosus (pineapple). RNAcentral describes it as "long non-coding RNA (ACOM_LNC021429)". Lineage: Eukaryota; Viridiplantae; Streptophyta; Magnoliopsida; Poales; Bromeliaceae. The record is from RNAcentral.
UAUUUAAAAUUUAAUUUUUUUGUAAAUAUAUUAUUUUUAGAGGUAUUUUUUAAAAAUAUAAAUAGUUUUCGGGACGGAUUUGGAGCAUGUUAAGAUUUUUUCUAUUUCUGCCCUGAAUUCGCCUCGGAUCAUAAAAAUUACUCCGUUUUCUGUCCCGAAAUCGUUUGUUUUUUUACCCAUUUACUGUCUCAUUUACGGUAGAUCAAGGCAGGAGCUCCACCAACCUGAAUCCAUUUGCAUUCCUAAAUGUACGAACGUUAGCAGGUCGGUUUUCGCCAAUUCUUAGAAAAAUUGAACCAAAUUCGAGGGUCAUCACCAAAACUGAAAUCGAAAAAAUUGAAUUUUAAAAAUUCAUAACCAAAAUCGAAACCCUAGCUGAAACUGAAUAACCAAAGCCAAAUUUACUGUAUUAUAGAUUGAAUGAAAUUAUGCCAAAUGAUUAAAAUUUAGUAACUAGAAGUGCUAAUUUUGACAUGCAUUUAAUAAUAAAUACCAACUAGAAUAUUUACUAAUUAUUGAAGAUAGACCCAAUGGUCCAUGUAAAUUACAUAUACAUUUAUAUUAUACAUGUAAUCUGUGGCUUCCAUUUUGGAUUUAGUUGGAUAUUAGCAAAAAAUUGUAAAAUCCUUGUGUUUUUGUUGCUAUAACCAAAAUUAUCACCGUUUAGCAUCAGUUAAAAUUGUCUUAGGUACGGUUAAUAUUAUUCGAGUGGUCACCAAUUCGAUAGUUGAACCGUUGGUUCAAAUGGUUCAAAACUAUUUUUUUGGCUUAUCCGAUUUAGAAGGUCGGAUCGAACCGUUUUGCAGAUUGUGUCACAGUCGGACUGGUCAAACCGAGCAGUUCAAUUGGAUUUUUAAAUUAUUGAUAUCUGUAGGAGAAUGUCACUAUCAGAAAUUCUGCACACUCGGCAUACCAAUGCAUGGCUCUUCACCACCGUGUACGGUCUAUUCAAUGGCCAAAAAGGUUAUGGCACCAAUACCGUGAUGCUUCUAAACGCACCAGAACCGAACUUUAUAAAAUUGAGCUGGAAUGCUUUUAAAAGCAUUAAGGCUUUGUACUUACAAUGUUUUAGCCUCUUGAUAUAUCUCUUUGACCAUUAGAUUAAAAGUCAAUAAAGGUCGCUACUUGUGAGGUCCGCCAUUGUGCAUAAUCUAAGGGUUAUUAAGUCUUUUCAGAUUAAUCUUUUCUGUACUGCUGAUUAAGUCUUAGUAUUUUAGCUUCCGCCUGGAAAUAAAAUAAAUAAAUAAACUUGUUAAAUAGCAAUAAAACCAAACUAGACCAAAAAUUGCCUGUUUGGUUUGGUUUUGUGGUUUGCAAACGGGGCAGAUGUUGGGUCGGGUUCGUGAUGGGUUAAAAAAAAUUAUCCCAUAAACCCCAAAUCUGCCCUGCCGCCCCAAAUCUGCCCUGCCGACUAAUAUUUUUUUUUUCACAUAUUAUUAAAGUUUUGUGCAUAUGAAUUAACAAUUUUUUAAUAGUAAUGGAUAAUAUUAUCUAGUUAUAUAUAUAAAAUUAACAACAUCAACUAUGAAAAUCAAAGAUUGCAGUAACAAUUCGGGAUAAAAUUCAAAAGUUUAAAAUACACACGUAUUAAAGAAAAACAAAAUCUAUUAAAAUUACAAUACCAGCUUGAGAAAUGAGCGCACACACUUAUUUAAAAUUUAAUUUUUUUGUAAAUAUAUUAUUUUUAGAGGUAUUUUUUAAAAAUAUAAAUAGUUUUCGGGACGGAUUUGGAGCAUGUUAAGAUUUUUUCUAUUUCUGCCCUGAAUUCGUUUCGGAUCAUAAAAAUUAUCCUGUUUUCUGUCCCGAAAUCGUUUGUUUUUUUACCCAUUUAUUGUUUCAUUUACGGUAGAUCAGGGCAGGAGCUCCACCAACCCGAAUCCAUUUGCAUU